CAGCAGCCACGGGAAUACGGAGGGUGCAAGCGUUAAUCGGAAUUACUGGGCGUAAAGCGUGCGUAGGCGGUUCGUUAAGUCUGUUGUGAAAGCCCCGGGCUCAACCUGGGAAUGGCAAUGGAUACUGGCGAGCUAGAGUGUGUCAGAGGAUGGUGGAAUUCCCGGUGUAGCGGUGAAAUGCGUAGAGAUCGGGAGGAACAUCAGUGGCGAAGGCGGCCAUCUGGGACAACACUGACGCUGAGGCACGAAAGCGUGGGGAGUAAACAGGAUUAGAUACCCCCGUAGUCCCUGUCUCUUAUAC
This 301-nucleotide ribosomal RNA is filed under the name uncultured bacterium. RNAcentral's name for it is "partial 16S ribosomal RNA". It matches the Rfam family "Bacterial small subunit ribosomal RNA", at positions 509 to 807 of the family's 1533-position model. The record is from RNAcentral.